CCUACGGGUGGCAGCAGUAGGGAAUCUUCCACAAUGGACGAAAGUCUGAUGGAGCAACGCCGCGUGAGUGCAGAAGGGUUUCGGCUCGUAAAGCUCUGUUGGUAGUGAAGAAAGAUAGAGGUAGUAACUGGCCUUUAUUUGACGGUAAUUACUUAGAAAGUCACGGCUAACUACGUGCCAGCAGCCGCGGUAAUACGGAGGGGGCAAGCGUUGUCCGGAUUUAUGGGGCGUAACGGGAGUACAGGUGGUUCAAUAAUUCUGAUGUGAAAGCCUUCGGCUCAACCGGAGAAUUGCAUCAGAAACUGUUGAACCUGAGUGCAGAAGAGGGUAGUGGAACUCCAUGGG
RNAcentral lists this ribosomal RNA (345 nucleotides) under uncultured bacterium. RNAcentral describes it as "partial 16S ribosomal RNA". It matches the Rfam family "Bacterial small subunit ribosomal RNA", at positions 338 to 675 of the family's 1533-position model. The record is from RNAcentral.